CAGCCGCCGCGGUAAUACGUAGGUGGCAAGCGUUGUCCGGAAUUAUUGGGCGUAAAGGGUGCGUAGGCGGCUUGACAAGUCUUGUGUGAAAUCUCUGGGCUCAACCCAGAGUCUGCACGGGAAACUGUCGGGCUAGAGGAUGGGAGAGGUGAGUGGAAUUUCCGGUGUAGCGGUGAAAUGCGCAGAUAUCGGAAGGAACACCUGUGGCGAAAGCGGCUCACUGGACCAUUACUGACGCUGAGGCGCGAAAGCUAGGGGAGCAAACAGGAUUAGAUACCCCCGUAGUCCCUGUCUCUUAUAC
This 301-nucleotide ribosomal RNA is filed under the name uncultured bacterium. RNAcentral describes it as "partial 16S ribosomal RNA". It matches the Rfam family "Bacterial small subunit ribosomal RNA", at positions 509 to 807 of the family's 1533-position model. The record is from RNAcentral.